This 2788-nucleotide long non-coding RNA is filed under the name Citrus x clementina. RNAcentral's name for it is "Citrus clementina (C. clementina) long non-coding RNA (CCLE_LNC006300)". Lineage: Eukaryota; Viridiplantae; Streptophyta; Magnoliopsida; Sapindales; Rutaceae. The record is from RNAcentral.
CCGCAUCCUAUUUUUGGCACACGGAGGCCCCUCGCAAAGUCUCGCGGCAUUCCGAGUCCGGCCCACCCCCCAAGGCUAUAGCCCACCCGUUUUUGUGGCCUUUUUCCGCUGGACGAACUUGGCGCCCCGGCCUUCGGGCGGCUAUUAUUGCGCGCGGCUUUGCUCCCAGCCUAUUUUUGGCACACGGUGGCCCCUCGCAAAGUCUCGCGGCAUUCCGAGUCCGGCGGACGAAGUUGACCAGCCCCACCGCCCAAGGCUAUAGGCCACCCGUUUUUGUGGGCUUUUUCCGCUGGACGAAGUUGGCCAGCCCCACCCCCCAAGGCUAUAGCCCACCCGUUUUUGUGGCCUUUUUCCACUGGACGAACUUAGCGCCCCGGCCUUCGGGUGGUUAUUUUUGGGCGCGGCUUUGGCCGCGGCCUAUUUUUGGUACACGGAGGCCCCUCGCAAACUCUCGCGGCAUUCCGAGUCCGGCGGACGAAGUGGGCCAGCCCCACCCCCCAAGGCUAUAGCCCACCCGUUUUUGUGGCUUUUUUCCGCUGGACGAUCUUGGCGCCCCGGCCCUUCGGGCGGUUAUUUGCGGGCGCGGCUAUACCCACGGCCUAUUUUUCGCACACGGAGGCCCCUCACAAAGUCUCGCGGCAUUCCGAGUCUGGCGGACGAAGUUGGCCAGCCCCACCCCCCAAGGCUAUAGCCCACCCGUUUUUGUGGACUUUUUCCGCUGGACGAACUUGGCGCCGCAGACAUUGGGCGGUUAUUUUUGGGCACGGCAUUGCAUGCAGCCUAUUUUUCUCACACGGAGGCCCCUUGCAAAGUCUCGCGGCAUUCCGAGUCCGGCUGGACGAACUUGGCUCCCCGGCCUUCGGGCGUUUAUUUUUGGACGCGGCUUUGCCCGCGGCCUAUUUUUGGUACAAGGAGGCCCCUCGCAAAGUCUCGCGGCAUUCUGAGUCCGGCGGACGAAGUUGGCCAGCCCCACCCCCCAAGGCUAUAGCCCACCCGUUUUUGUGGCCUUUUUCCGCUGGACGAACUUGGCGCCCCGGACUUCGGGCGGUUAUUUUUGGGCGCGGCUUUGCCCGCGGCCUAUUUUUGGCACACGGAGGACCCUUACAAAGUCUCGCGGCAUUCUGAGUCCGGCGGACGAAGUCGGCUUGCCCCACCCCCCAAGGCUAUAGCCCACCCGUGUUUGUGGCAUUUUUCCGCUGGACGAACUUGGCGCCCUGGCCUUCGGGCGGUUAUUCUUGGGCGCGGCUUUGUCCGCAGCCUAUUUUUGGCACACGGAGGCCCCUCGUAAAGUGUCACCGCAUUUUGAGUCCGGCGGACGAAGUUGGCCAGCCCCACCCCCCAAGGCUAUAGCCCACCCGUUUUUGUGGCCUUUUACCGCUGGACGAACUUGGUGCCCCGGCCUUCAGGUGGUUAUUUUUAGGCGCGGCUUUGCCCACGGAUUAUUUAUGGCACACGGAGUUCCCUCGCAAAGUCUCACCGCAUUCCGAGUCCGGCGGACGAAGAUGGCCAGCCCCACCCCCCAAGGCUAUAGCCCACCCGUUUUUGUGGCCUUUUCCGCCGGACGAACUUGGCGCCCCGGCCUUCGGGCGGUUAUUUUUGGGCGCGCCUUUGCCCGCNNNNNNNNNNNNNNNNNNNNNNNNNNNNNNNNNNNNNNNNNNNNNNNNNNNNNNNNNNNNNNNNNNNNNNNNNNNNNNNNNNNNNNNNNNNNNNNNNNNNUAUCGCAGCAUUCCGAGUCCGGCGGACGAAAUUGGCCAGACCCACCCCUCAAGGCUAUAGUCCACCCGUUUUUGUGGCCUUUUUCCGCUGGACGAACUUGGAGCCCCAGCCUUCGGGCAGUUAUUUUUGGGCGCGGCUGUGCCUGCAGCCUAUUUUUGGCACACGGAGGCCCCUCGCAAAGUCUCGCAGCAUUCCGAGUCCGGCAGACGAAGUCGGCCCGCCCCACCCCCCAAGGCUAUAGCCCACCCGUUUUUGUGGCCUUUUUCCGCUGGACGAACUUGGCGCCCCGGCGUUCGGGCGGUUAUUUUUUGGCGUGUCUUUGCCCGUGGCUUAUUUUUGGCACGCGGAGGCCCCUCGCAAAGUCUCGCGGCAUUCCGAGUCCGGCGGACGAAGUGGGCCAGCCGCACCCCCCAAGGCUAUAGCCCACCCGUUUUUGUGGCCUUUUUCCGCUGGACGAACUUGGCUCCCCGACCUUCGGGCGGUUAUUUUUGGGCGCGGCUUUGUCCGCGUUCUAUUUUUGGUACACGGAGGCCCCUCGCAAAGUCUCGCGGCAUUCCGAGUCCGGCAGACAAAGUUGGCCAGCCCCACCCCCCAAGGCUAUAGCCCACCCGUUUUUGUGGCCUUUUUCCGCCGGACGAACUUGGCGCCCCGGCCUUCGGGUGGUUAUUUUUGGGCGCGGCUUUGCCCGCGGCCUAUUUUUGGCACACGGAGGCCCGUCGCAAAAUCUCGUGGCAUUCUGCGUCCGGCGGACGAAGUCAGCCAGCCCCACCCCCCAAGGCUAUAGCCCACCCAUUUAUGUGGCCUUUUUCCGCUGGACGAACUUGGAGACCCGGCCUUCGGGUGGUUAUUUUUGGGCGCGGCUUUGUCCACGGCCUAUUUUUGGCACACAGAAGCCCCUCGCAAAGUCUCGCGGCAUUCCGAGUCCGGCAGACGAAGUUGGCCAGCCCCACCCCCCAAGGCUAUAGCCCACCCGUUUUUGUGGCCUUUUUCCGCUGGACGAACAUGGCGCCCCGGCGUUCGGGCGGUUAUUUUUGGGUGUGGCUGUGCCUGCGGCCUAUUUUUGGCACACGGN